AUGCCUGUACCAUAACCGACACAGGUGGGUAGGUAGAGUAUACUAAGGGGCGCGAGAUAACUCUCUCUAAGGAACUCGGCAAAAUGACUCCGUAACUUCGGGAGAAGGAGUGCCUUAUUUAUAAGGUUGCAAUAACAAGAUCCAAGCAACUGUUUAUCAAAAACACAGGUCUCCGCUAAGUCGUAAGACGAUGUAUGGGGGCUGACGCCUGCCCAGUGCCAGAAGGUUAAAGAAGUUGGUUAGUGUAUGCGAAGCUGAUGACUGAAGCCCUGGUGAACGGCGGCCGUAACGAUAACGGUCCUAAGGUAGCGAAAUUCCUUGUCGGGUAAGUUCCGACCCGCACGAAAGGCGUAAUGAUUUGGAUACUGUCUCGGAGAGAGGCUCGGUGAAAUAGACUUGUCUGUGAAGAUGCGGACUACCUGCACCAGGACAGAAAGACCCUAUGAAGCUUUACUGUAACUUGAAAUUGGAAUUGGACUUUGCUUGCGCAGUAUAGGUGGGAAGCGUUGAAGAUAUUCUUGCGGGAGUAUUGGAGCUAUCAGUGAGAUACCACUCUUGUAAUGUUAGAUUUCUAACUUUGAACCAUAAUCUGGUCAAAGAACAGUUUCAGGUGGGCAGUUUGACUGGGGCGGUCGCCUCCCAAAUGGUAACGGAGGCGUACAAAGGUUUCCUCUGAACGGAUAGAAAUCGUAUCUAGAGUGUAAAGGCAUAAGGAAGCUUGACUGUGAGACCUACAAGUCGAGCAGGGACGAAAGUCGGUCUUAGUGAUCUGACGGUACUGAGUGGAAAGGCCGUCACUCAACGGAUAAAAGUUACUCUAGGAUAACAGGCUGAUCUCCCCCAAGAGUUCACAUCGACGGGGAGGUUUGGCACCUCGAUGUCGGCUCAUCGCAUCCUGGGGCGGUAGUACGUCCCAAGGGUUGGGCUGUUCGCCCAUGAAAGCGGUACGCGAGCUGGGUUCAGAACGUCGUGAGACAGUUCGGUCCAUAUCCGGUGUAGGCGUUAGAAUAUUGAGAGGAGCCUUCUUUAGUACGAGAGGACCGAGAAGGACACACCGCUGGUGUACCAGUUAUCGUGCCAACGGUAAACGCUGGGUAGCUAUGUGUGGAGUGGAUAACCGCUGAAAGCAUCUAAGUGGGAAGCCCACCUCAAGAUGAGUACUCUCAUGGAGUAGUCCAGUAAGGUCACGGGGAGAACACCCGUUGAUAGGCGUUAGGUGGAAGAGCAGCAAUGUUUGCAGCC
Molecule: ribosomal RNA, 1242 nt
Filed under: metagenome
Description: bacterial LSU rRNA
Rfam family: Bacterial large subunit ribosomal RNA
Source: RNAcentral